ACGCCCGCGGGCUCUCGCCCCUCCUCACACCAAUCCCAGCCCGGUCUGCUCCGGCGAGUCCAAUCACCGUCCGAGAGGGGCGGCCCUCACCGCUCCGGGCCCCGCCGCCCUCCAGAGUGACGCCACUAAGCAUCCAAUAAGCUUUGGUAUACUUGAGGCCAACAACAAGGAACACAUAAUCUGAUCUCAGGAAACAUUUUGCAUCAUCUGGUAAAGAUUUCUGCCUCAUCAGAUUACAGACUACAUGUGAAGCCUUGAAGAUACCUCCAAGGAGCUGCAUGAGCACAAGGCAGUGUUCUCACAGUGAGCUAGGAAGAGGCUUGCACUGUCACUGCCAGCCCCUUUGUGCAUCAGAGAAGGCCUGAGCGUAAUUGAGCAGUCAUUGCUGUCUCCUCCAGGCAGAGGAGCCAUCCUCCUCACAGAUGGCUGAAGAUCUUAUGAAGCUGAACCUCCCAACAAAUCCUCAUAGUUUGAUACAAAUAAGAAUAUGAUUGUCAAUAUUCAUACAAUGUUUUAAACCUUA
Long non-coding RNA from Symphalangus syndactylus (siamang), 523 nucleotides. RefSeq lists it as uncharacterized. NCBI's taxonomy places the organism in Eukaryota, Metazoa, Chordata, Mammalia, Primates, Hylobatidae. The record is from RefSeq and is a predicted model, not a curated record.